GGCGGACGUGGCCAARUGGAUUAAGGAAGUAA
This 32-nucleotide transfer RNA is filed under the name Anomodon viticulosus. Its description in RNAcentral is "partial tRNA-His". The record is from RNAcentral. Lineage: Eukaryota; Viridiplantae; Streptophyta; Bryopsida; Hypnales; Anomodontaceae.